This is a long non-coding RNA of Pongo pygmaeus (Bornean orangutan), 6561 nucleotides long. RefSeq lists it as uncharacterized. NCBI's taxonomy places the organism in Eukaryota, Metazoa, Chordata, Mammalia, Primates, Hominidae. The transcript is spliced from 15 exons. The record is from RefSeq and is a predicted model, not a curated record.
CCAACAUGGCCGGGCAGGAAGAGCAGGGUCCCGCCUUCAGGUGUUUGGGACUCAGCUGAGGGUGUGGGUGCCCCGCGGUGGGGGCUGAACCUUCCUGGGGUGUGGAGAGACGAAAGGAGCCCAGAUCCAAGUUCCCUCGUUCCUGCUUUGGCACAAGUUGCCCUGGCGGUCUCAUGAGAGAGAGAGAGAGCUGGGACCCUCCUCGCCCCAGUGAGUGUGAUGUCUUGCUCCGGGUGUCCUGGGGCAACUUUCUAUAAAGGCGGGACGUGGGAGGAUCAGACAGUGUAACAUCAGACAAGGGUGUUGACUCUGCAGCACAGAACCAGUAGUUUGUGGAGAAGAAUGAGGUGUGGUGUUGAAUCUGCUAGACAGGCUACUGAAGCAAAAGUCAAGAGAUCCAGAUCCCAUCAUGGGGACACUUUAGUUACACAGGUUAAAGAAUUGAGAGGCUGCUGCUACGAAUGUCUCCAUGAGUCACAUGAAAAACCAUAUUCUUACAAGGUUGCUAGGGAUAGCCUUGCAAGGAAGCUACUUUCCUUCAGCACACAUAGACAGGACUCUACCAGAUAGCAAUGUACACUGCAGUGUUUGACUUUCGUGACUGUACCCACACAGCACCACUUAGUGGAUAAGUCUGUCCAACUCUGGGGUUCAUUAAGAAGAAAUGUCUUCUCAGCAGAUCUAAGGUUAUUCAGUCACAUGAUUAUGGACAGUCUCUUAGUUUUCUGCCAUGGAUAGCUAAUUGCUUCAUGUUCUUCAUCGGGUAAUUGAGCUGAUAUCAGGUGUCUGAAGGAGGCAAGUUUUGAAGAUAUGAGUCAUGAUGGCUGCUGAAGCUUCCACUCCAUAUUUGAAGGUCAGCAGUUCUCAGGAAACCUCUAGCACUUCCAUCCCUGGUGGGAUAUGAUGCCUGUCUCAGGGUGAAUACUAGGAGUCCAAUGGCUGGAUCAUAUGACAGAUGUGAGAUUAACAAUUGUAACAUCAGAGAAGGGGUGUACUCUGUGCCCUAGAACUAGGAGCUAGCAGAGAAAAACCAAAUGUGAUGUGGAGUCUGCUAGACAGGCUACUGGAGCAAGAGUGAAGCAAUGAAAGUCUCAUCAUUGGGACAUAUUAGAAAAAAUGAUGGAUACAGAAGGAUAGCUGGAUGUAAGUGAAAAGUUCCAGAAAUCCAUGUCUGAUCCCAUUAAUCAAGCUCCCAACUUUCAUCCCUCCCUGCCUGCUGCUGAGUCCCCUGGUCUACACUCAGAGUUGCCAUCCUGACUCUGGCCACCAAGAGGCAUUACAGCUAUCUCUACGUUCCUUGCUCUUUCUUAAUGAAAAGGGGUAAAUUUCGCAGAAAUUCCAUCCUAUGGAUAUGACAUCAGUUUUCUCAAACCUGUGUUAUUCAGAGUGUUCUGAUAUUCCCUGUUAUCUACACUGUGUGGAAGACAUCUUUUCAGAGUCUGUGCAUGGCUGAAGGGCACAGUUCCUGUAGCUGUUUACACUGCGCAGAGCUUUUAUGCAGAUGACUGAACCCGUGGAGUUAGGUGGCUGAGAGGAUGCAGCUUCCCAGGUCUCUACAAUUGAUGGCAGCAAGAUGGGAGCACCCAGCUACAGUAUUCAGAAGUAGAUUUAGGCAGACUACCGCACCUUACAUGCUAGAGGGAUCCACACUGACCUGAGUAGGUGAGGUCUCAGACAGGCUUGUUUUCCAUCAUGGCGACAGGAUUACAGCCUACUCAGAAAGCAGGAUAUUGAUGUACAACAAGAUUCGCUGAUCAGAAAGAGAGGCAGAACUAGCAGCCUGGCUUCAGAGGUGAAGAUACAGAUGUCAGUAGUGACCCAGUGUGACAUGCAUAAAGGAAUUUCUUAUUGAGCCCCAGGAAGAAGAAACACUACAUAAGAGCAAAUAAUAAAAUCGGUCAGAUAGACAGAAGAUGGGAGUCAUCAAACCUGUAUCCCUCUUGCCAGACCUAUCAACUGACCAUAGGACAUUCAGGAGGCAGCAGGUGGCUGAAAUCCUGGUGUGAUGUGGCUGGAUCAUGCAUGAUCUGAGGACUCCUGCACAGGUGACUGCAGGAUGAGUACAGAAUUUUUCUAUAAAUAUACUAAAAUACCAAGUAAGCCAGGAGCAGCCACUAGGCAAACACCAAACCUUGCAUUCCUCGCCAGACCUAUCACAGAGCUCAUCAGCACCGAGCUCCUCACACAGGCGACUGAACCCGUGGUUUUGAUGUCUGAGAAGAUGCAGCUUCUCCAGUCUCUGCAACUGAUGGCAGGAAGAUGGGAGCACUCAGCUUCAGUGUUCAGAAGCAGAUUUAGGCCAACUGCCAUACCUUACGUUCUAGAGGGAUCCACCCUGACCUGAGCAGGUGAGGUCGCAGAAAGGCUUGCUUUCCAUCACAGGGACAGGAUUACAGCCUGCUCAGAAGCAUGUUGUGGUCCAGCUCUUGCAUCAUUUAAAAAGACUUCAGCUCUUCUCUAAUAUUGAAUUCUACUAAUAUCACAGAGAGAUGUUCUUAAUCUUCUAGACAAACACACUGCCAUCAGUAUUCCCCAGAGGCCACAAACACACCCUGGAACCAUAAUGCCACCAGUAGCUCUAGGAGAACUUGCAGGCUAAUGUGCCUGUUGCUCAUUGUUUUUAGGCUACAUAUGAAAAUGGACCAGUUUGCAAUAAAAAUAUAAUGCAAUGAUGAUUAUCAGAGCAUUUUGUAUACUAGGGAAUUUUUUAAGUUAUCUGAACAUCGAAUUAAAUAUAAUGACAAUGAAAGAAUUUCCACCUGUCAUAUCAUCAAAGUAUAAAAAGAAACCAUUCAGGAUUCCAGUAAGGUGGGCAUGCGGGGAAGUCUACCCUGUUUCAUAUUGGUGGUGGGGAUGUCAUUUAGUACAACCUCUUUCCAGGUCGAUUUGGUAAUUUCUAUUAAAGACUCUAUGCAUCCCCGAUCUGCAUGUGUUUGGGGCCUGCUCCUUCAAGUAUUCACCCUCAGCAUGGCCCCUGUCCCUCUAAGAGUGUAUAUUCUUGUUGACAUAGGAACUGUCUGGAGACUCCAGUUUCUAAAGCACUGGCCCAGACACACUCCCUUGUCUACAGAGUAGGAAAUUUAGGUCUGACAAGGUUCUCUGUCUUUCAUAAGAGAGACAGAACUGGCAGCCUGGCUUCAGAGCUGAAGAUACAGAUUUCAGUAGUGACCCGGGUCAGCAGGAAAGCGAGAUUUGCUUGGUUAUGGUGUGAUGUGCAGCUCAGCAUCACGGUCUGCCUGGGGGCAUACAGGAUGCUCAGCAUCACGGUCUGCCUGGGGGCAUAUAGGGUGCUACUCUCUGCUUUUCCACUUAGUGGCAGGAUGCUCCCCAGCCAGGUUGCUUAACCUGCAAACAUCACUGUUUCUUAAGCUACAGGAUGGUGUAAGAUUAUAUCCUCUACUUCCCAGGAAUGUUGUGGGAAAUUCAUGAGAUAGAAAAGUACCAGAGUUCCGGAAGGGUGAGUCCCCACAGCUCCCUGAGGCCAGAGAUACUGCCCUUCUGCAGGACUUUAUGUUACAAUCACCCUAUGACAAUGCACAAAUAAAUGGUCAUUCAAUUACAAAGGAAUACAAGGACUUAUAUUUACUCAGUUCAUCCAAUAUCAAUUAUUAUAAUAAUCAACAGUGUAAAUUGGAAAGUAACUAUGUGGAAACCACUUCUCCUUCCUUCCCAUCUAAGGUCUCAGAAGUGCUUUCCCAGAUGUGAUCUCAUUAACCUCUAUAUUGAUCUGAGAGGUGUUAACCAAAACUGGCCAGCACAGGGGAAAUGACUCACCUAAGGCCUUAUAAUGGGCCUGCCCCACCAUGUUCUAUUGCAUUGUUUUUCUGCAAAGCCUCAUCUUGCGGGGUUACACUAUACAUAUUUUUCUUCUCUUUUCAUUUUACCAAAGAGAAAAAUAUAUACUUUUUUAUUGUUAAGAAACAUUUUCUCAAAUAAGUACUUAUUUCAUUCCUUACUGAAAUGGUUUUUUCUUACUGAUCCAUUGAAACCAUGUUGGCUAUGUUCAACAUAACUAGAGAUAUCUUUGGCGUUUUCCUCCCUUAGCUUCAUAUCUUGUAGAACAUCUUGUACAAAAAAAGUAGAUUUACAGAAAAACAUACAUAUAAAUCAUGUAUUAAUCCCCAAAUGUAGUAAAAUAACAUAGCAAAAACUUUAUCAAAUCCAUUUCGUGCACAAACUGGACAGAUCUGUUAUAUACAAUCUCUAUAUGCAUCUGCAGUGUUUUAUAAAUUGGUGCUUUGACAUUAAAAAGGAGGUUUACAAAAAGGCCCCUCUUGUAAUAUCGAUGACUGAAUUAUCUCACUAUCAUUGCUUCUCCAAUUUCCUUGAAUUUAUACUCAUCAUUGCCAUAUCACCAUUCUUACAAAGGCGGUUAUUUUAAGGAAAAAGUUGCAGCGUGAUUAUGAUAUAAGUAACAUUCAAAAUUUCAUGUUAUCAAGAGUUGAGCAAAGUACUAAUUUCCCCUUUAUAAACACACGUUUAAAACAAGAGCUUCAUGCACAUCCAAAUAGAAAUUCAAAGUCAAACUGUGUAAUGUGUUUUUAUUGACAGAAGGCAUCACACACAUUCCCAAGCAGCAUGGUUCCUGUGAGAAACUGAAAACUAAUUUCUUGAAUCUACAAUGCGACUUCCAUCUUCCAGGUGUAACCAGAGUUUUUCCUGGAGCGAUUCCAGCUUGUUUCCUUUUGGUGCCUUCCUUAAGAAAUUUUGCAGCUGUUUCUGGUGCAGUUUUUGGGUGGGCUCUGGGGUGGGCAGACGAUCUCCACUUUGCAGAGGCUGCUCUUGUGGGUGGAGCUGGUGGUGAGGGAGUAGGAGAGGCCUUGCAUCAUCCUGGCAUUCAGGCCCUUAGCCAUGGAGAAGGACUUGAGGUGGCUUCUUAAGGUAAUGGGGAGUGGGAGCUUGUCGACCAGGUGUACGGGCGUGCAGGACACGAUGGCGCGGCAGCAGAGGUCUUGCAAACUCAUUACCUUGCUGGGUCUCCCGAGCCAAUUCAUCCUGUGCCGCAGCAGCACGAUCCUGGCCAGCUCCGUGAAAGACUCUAUGAUGUUGAAAUUGCACAGAGGGCUGACCUCAAAGAAGGUCACACCCAGGCGCUCAGCGUAGGCCUGGGCCUGCUCCCUGGGCACCUGCCUCUUGAAUGCCAGAUGUAGGCGAUUCCCCACCAGGAUUUUAGGGACACCAGGGGCAUGCUCAUCGAUCUUCUUAAUCCAUCGAUCCAUACCCUCGAAAGACCAGCGGUUUGCAAUGUCGUAGACCAGGAUCACUCCUUGUGCACCACGAGAGUAGGAGCGGAAUAUGGUACAAAAUCUUCCCUGCCCCGACGUAUCCCAGAGCUUCAGCUUCACCCGCUGGCCGUCCAGCAGGAUGGUGGUCGUCUUGUAGUCGAUCCCCCCCAGGUGGCUGUAUGGGGACUCAGCUGCGCCAUCCUGCAGGCUCUCCAGGAUCUCACUCUUGCCUACGUCGCUGUCGCCCACCAGCAGGAACUUGAGCAGGAAGUCAUAGGCCUGGUCGGGGCUGCCCGGGGUGCUCAUGGUGCUAGCCCCGCGUUCCCACCUGAGCCAGGCGCGCGGGGUUGUGCGCAGAGGUGGUGCCGGGUCUGUUUUUCUUGAGAAGUUAGCAUAGAACAUAAAAAAUGAGAUGGGGAAGUCUGUGAAAUAAAGCGAAAUGAGGUGGUGGCUUUGAUGGAUUUCUUUUACAAACUCUAGGAAACUGGUUCAGCGAUUGUUUUCCUUUCUCUUACUCAGCACAGAGUAGUGACACAGCAGUUAAUUAAUCAUGGAAACCUAUACAUUUCCCUUAAAAUUUUCAUGUGAUCGUUAUGGAACCAUGCCUUUUGGAUUAUGUCAAAGGAAUCUCCUUUAAAGGAAGGACGGGUAUGGGAUAGGAAAGGGACUAAGAUGUGUUGAGUACUGUAUGUACCCUACGCUGUGUAUGAUGCUUAAAAUAUUUUGUUCUUUUGCUUUCAGAACAGUUGUCUUUGGUAGCUAUAAUUGUUUCCAUUUUACAGAUGAGAAAAGGCAAACUCAGAAAUGUUAUGUAAUUUUUAAAAAUAUUGCCAUUAAUAUAGAGAUCACAGAAAUCAGAAUCCAGAGCCAGUGCUCUCUUCAUAUAACGCACCACACUUCCUUUCUACUCUGUGGCCAUGCCGGGUUUAGGAGUAAGUGUGAACUGUCUGUGCAUGUGAUCCUUGACAAGCCACGCAUGUUUGCAUGGGCACUAAUACUUUCCUUGCUGCGGGGGACAUCUCCCAUAAAUAUAAGAGCCAAGAUCUCAGAAGAGACAUCUAGGACAUGGAUUUUGCUAGAGUGUCUCAUAAAUAAUAUUCACCCAACAAAGAUGUGUUGAAAUAACGCAUGCAUCCAUCAGUGAAGGUUUUUCGGUUUAACACAUGUACAGCUCCUAUAACAAAAUAACAAAACUGAAAAAAUAUGUAUAUGGUUCACAGGUGAAGAAAUGCAAAUGGCCAGUAAUCACAAGAAAAUGCAUUCUAGCUCACUAAUACAUUAAGGAAUGCAAAUGAAACCAUCUAAAUAUCCGUUUAUCACCUAUCAUCUGACAAAA